GGUUAAGCGACUAAGCGUACACGGUGGAUGCCCUGGCAGUCAGAGGCGAUGAAGGGCGUGCUAAUCUGCGAUAAGCGCCGGUAAGGUGAUAUGAACCGUUAUAACCGGCGAUACCCGAAUGGGGAAACCCAGUGUGAUUCGUCACACUAUCAUUAACUGAAUCCAUAGGUUAAUGAGGCGAACCGGGGGAACUGAAACAUCUAAGUACCCCGAGGAAAAGAAAUCAACCGAGAUUCCCCCAGUAGCGGCGAGCGAACGGGGAGGAGCCCAGAGCCUGAAUCAGCAUGUGUGUUAGUGGAAGCGUCUGGAAAGGCGCGCGAUACAGGGUGACAGCCCCGUACACAAAAGCGCAUGUGCUGUGAGCUCGAUGAGUAGGGCGGGACACGUGGUAUCCUGUCUGAAUAUGGGGGGACCAUCCUCCAAGGCUAAAUACUCCUGACUGACCGAUAGUGAACCAGUACCGUGAGGGAAAGGCGAAAAGAACCCCGGCGAGGGGAGUGAAAAAGAACCUGAAACCGUGUACGUACAAGCAGUGGGAGCACCCUUUGGGUGUGACUGCGUACCUUUUGUAUAAUGGGUCAGCGACUUAUAUUCUGUAGCAAGGUUAACCGAAUAGGGGAGCCGGAGGGAAACCGAGUCUUAACCGGGCGUUAAGUUGCAGGGUAUAGACCCGAAACCCGGUGAUCUAGCCAUGGGCAGGUUGAAGGUUGGGUAACACUAACUGGAGGACCGAACCGACUAAUGUUGAAAAAUUAGCGGAUGACCUGUGGCUGGGGGUGAAAGGCCAAUCAAACCGGGAGAUAGCUGGUUCUCCCCGAAAGCUAUUUAGGUAGCGCCUCGUGAAUUCAUCUCCGGGGGUAGAGCACUGUUUCGGCUAGGGGGCCAUCCCGGCUUACCAACCCGAUGCAAACUGCGAAUACCGGAGAAUGUUAUCACGGGAGACACACGGCGGGUGCUAACGUCCGUCGUGAAGAGGGAAACAACCCAGACCGCCAGCUAAGGUCCCAAAGUCAUGGUUAAGUGGGAAACGAUGUGGGAAGGCCCAGACAGCCAGGAUGUUGGCUUAGAAGCAGCCAUCAUUUAAAGAAAGCGUAAUAGCUCACUGGUCGAGUCGGCCUGCGCGGAAGAUGUAACGGGGCUAAACCAUGCACCGAAGCUGCGGCAGCGACACUGUGUGUUGUUGGGUAGGGGAGCGUUCUGUAAGCCUGUGAAGGUGUGUCGUGAGGCAUGCUGGAGGUAUCAGAAGUGCGAAUGCUGACAUAAGUAACGAUAAAGCGGGUGAAAAGCCCGCUCGCCGGAAGACCAAGGGUUCCUGUCCAACGUUAAUCGGGGCAGGGUGAGUCGACCCCUAAGGCGAGGCCGAAAGGCGUAGUCGAUGGGAAACGGGUUAAUAUUCCCGUACUUGGUGUUACUGCGAAGGGGGGACGGAGAAGGCUAUGUUGGCCGGGCGACGGUUGUCCCGGUUUAAGCGUGUAGGUGUGUGUUCCAGGUAAAUCCGGUUCACUUUAACACUGAGGCGUGACGACGAGGCACUACGGUGCUGAAGCAACAAAUGCCCUGCUUCCAGGAAAAGCCUCUAAGCAUCAGGUAACAUCAAAUCGUACCCCAAACCGACACAGGUGGUCAGGUAGAGAAUACCAAGGCGCUUGAGAGAACUCGGGUGAAGGAACUAGGCAAAAUGGUGCCGUAACUUCGGGAGAAGGCACGCUGAC
This 1712-nucleotide ribosomal RNA is filed under the name Salmonella enterica. Its description in RNAcentral is "partial 23S ribosomal RNA". It matches the Rfam family "Bacterial large subunit ribosomal RNA", at positions 1 to 1755 of the family's 2925-position model. The record is from RNAcentral. Lineage: Bacteria; Pseudomonadati; Pseudomonadota; Gammaproteobacteria; Enterobacterales; Enterobacteriaceae.